This 253-nucleotide ribosomal RNA is filed under the name uncultured bacterium. RNAcentral's name for it is "partial 16S ribosomal RNA". It matches the Rfam family "Bacterial small subunit ribosomal RNA", at positions 524 to 776 of the family's 1533-position model. The record is from RNAcentral.
UACAGAGGUCUCGAGCGUUGUUCGGAAUCACUGGGCGUAAAGGGCGCGUAGGCGGCCUGAUAAGUCGGGGGUGAAAGCCUGUGGCUCAACCACAGAAUUGCCUUCGAUACUGUUAGGCUUGAGACCGGAAGAGGUAAGUGGAACUGCGAGUGUAGAGGUGAAAUUCGUAGAUAUUCGCAAGAACACCAGUGGCGAAGGCGGCUUACUGGUCCGGUUCUGACGCUGAGGCGCGAAAGCGUGGGGAGCAAACAGG